RNAcentral lists this ribosomal RNA (300 nucleotides) under uncultured Thermus sp. RNAcentral describes it as "bacterial SSU rRNA". It matches the Rfam family "Bacterial small subunit ribosomal RNA", at positions 496 to 795 of the family's 1533-position model. Lineage: Bacteria; Thermotogati; Deinococcota; Deinococci; Thermales; Thermaceae. The record is from RNAcentral.
GCUAAAGUCGGUACAGCGGCGGGGGUAAAGUGGAGGGUGGAAGCGGUACUCGGAAUGACUGGGCGGAAAGCGAAAGGAGUGUGGUGGAGAAGUUAGAGGUGAAGGCCCCGGGCUCAACCUGGGAAUUGCAUUGAAAACUGUCCAGCUAGAGUCGUGUAGAGGGGGGUAGAAUUCCAGGUGUAGCGGUGAAAUGCGUAGAGAUCUGGAGGAAUACCGGUGGCGAAGGCGGCCCCCUGGACAAAGACUGACGCUCAGGUGCGAAAGCGUGGGGAGCAAACAGGAUUAGAUACCCUGGUAGUC